Molecule: long non-coding RNA, 568 nt
Organism: Myotis daubentonii (Daubenton's bat)
Lineage: Eukaryota; Metazoa; Chordata; Mammalia; Chiroptera; Vespertilionidae
Source: RefSeq, a predicted model, not a curated record
CGGCGUCCGGAGGCUUUGUGGGGCUGCGCGGGUUGGAGGAACGCUGGCCGGACCUCCGGGACGUGCAGGCCGCCUGGUCCCGAGAGAAGAGGAGGACGGUCCGGCCCCAGGUGGACGCAGCCCCAGGUGGAUGCAGCUGAAUGAGGGACCCCAGCACCUGCAAUGGACCAACCUCCCAGAGUCCUGUGGGAGCGGCUGCCUCCAGAUCUUGCUUCUCCUUUGGUCACUGUCCAAAGAGCUGUGUGGAGAAAAUCACGAAGUAAACGGUCCAGCCCCUAGGCUUGGCCUGAGUCCCGAGGAAGUCAGCUGGGCUGGACGGCACGUGAGCCUCUGCUACAGACCAGAGUGACCCGGCUCGCCCAUAAAGAGCCAAGUGACACGAACUCAAACGCCAAGAGGCAAUAGAUCUAAGGAAUCUGCCUUUUCAUUGUUAUAAAAAAACAAACACCUGGGAAAAUGCUGCACACAAUGAAACAAUAUACUUUGUGGGAAACUCAUAAAGUCUUUACGAUGUUGCAUUUUGUGCUAUAGGGUUCCUGUGAUUUAUAAAGUGUCUCCAAUAAACUGA